This 451-nucleotide ribosomal RNA is filed under the name uncultured Allobrachymonas sp. Its description in RNAcentral is "bacterial SSU rRNA". It matches the Rfam family "Bacterial small subunit ribosomal RNA", at positions 923 to 1382 of the family's 1533-position model. The record is from RNAcentral. Lineage: Bacteria; Pseudomonadati; Pseudomonadota; Betaproteobacteria; Burkholderiales; Comamonadaceae.
GCACAAGCGGUGGAUGAUGUGGUUUAAUUCGAUGCAACGCGAAAACCUUACCCACCUUGACAUGGCAGGAAUCCCGAAGAGAUUGGAGUGCUCGAAAGAGAACCUGCACACAGGUGCUGCAUGGCUGUCGUCAGCUCGUGUCGUGGGAUGUUGGGUUAAGUCCCGCAACGAGCGCAACCCUUGCCAUUAGUUGCUACGAAAGGGCACUCUAAUGGGACUGCCGGUGACAAACCGGAGGAAGGUGGGGAUGACGUCAAGUCCUCAUGGCCCUUAUAGGUGGGGCUACACACGUCAUACAAUGGCCGGUACAGAGGGUAGCCAACCCGCGAGGGGGAGCCAAUCCCACAAAGCCGGUCGUAGUCCGGAUCGCAGUCUGCAACUCGACUGCGUGAAGUCGGAAUCGCUAGUAAUCGCGGAUCAGCAUGUCGCGGUGAAUACGUUCCCGGGUCUU